AGUGAACGCUGGCGGUAGGCCUAACACAUGCAAGUCGAACGGCAGCACAGUAAGAGCUUGCUCUUACGGGUGGCGAGUGGCGGACGGGUGAGGAAUACAUCGGGAUCUACUUUUUCGUGGGGGACAACGUAGGGAAACUUACGCUAAUACCGCAUACGACCUACGGGUGAAAGCAGGGGAUCUUCGGACCUUGCGCGAUUGAAUGAGCCGAUGUCGGAUUAGCUAGUUGGCGGGGUAAAGGCCCACCAAGGCGACGAUCCGUAGCUGGUCUGAGAGGAUGAUCAGCCACACUGGAACUGAGACACGGUCCAGACUCCUACGGGAGGCAGCAGUGGGGAAUAUUGGACAAUGGGCGCAAGCCUGAUCCAGCCAUACCGCGUGGGUGAAGAAGGCCUUCGGGUUGUAAAGCCCUUUUGUUGGGAAAGAAAAGCAGCAGGUUAAUACCCCGCUGUUCUGACGGUACCCAAAGAAUAAGCACCGGCUAACUUCGUG
This 492-nucleotide ribosomal RNA is filed under the name uncultured bacterium. RNAcentral's name for it is "partial 16S ribosomal RNA". It matches the Rfam family "Bacterial small subunit ribosomal RNA", at positions 29 to 507 of the family's 1533-position model. The record is from RNAcentral.